Molecule: ribosomal RNA, 463 nt
Filed under: uncultured bacterium
Lineage: Bacteria
Description: partial 16S ribosomal RNA
Rfam family: Bacterial small subunit ribosomal RNA
Source: RNAcentral
CUACGGGCGGCUCCAGUGGGGAAUCUUGCGCAAUGGGCGAAAGCCUGACGCAGCAACGCCGCGUGAGCGAAGAAGGCCUUCGGGUUGUAAAGCUCUGUCAGGGGGAAAGAAGGCACCUGGGUUAAUAGCCCAAGGGCUGACGGUACCCCCAAAGGAAGCCACGGCUAACUACGUGCCAGCAGCCGCGGUAAUACGUAGGUGGCGAGCGUUGUCCGGAAUCAUUGGGCGUAAAGAGCGCGUUGGUGGCUUGUCAGGUCCGAUGUGAAAACUUGGGGCUCAACCCCAAGCCUGCAUUGGAAACCGGCUUGCUAGAGUCUGGGAGAGGAGAGUGGAAUUCCUGGUGUAGCGGUGAAAUGCGUAGAUAUCAGGAGGAACACCGGUAGCGAAGGCGGCUCUCUGGAACAGUACUGACGCUGAGGCGCGAAAGCUAGGGGAGCGAACAGGAUUAGAUACCCCCGUAGUC